AGGACGAACGCUGGCGGCGUGCUUCACACAUGCAAGUCGAGCGGAAAGGCCCUUCGGGGUACUCGAGCGGCGAACGGGUGAGUAACACGUGAGUAACCUGCCCCUAACACCGGGAUAGCUCCGGGAAACUGGAAUUAAUACCGGAUAUGACCUAGGCCGACAUCGGCCGUGGUGGAAAGUUUUUCGGCUAGGGAUGGACUCGCGGCCUAUCAGCUAGUUGGUGGGGUAAUGGCCUACCAAGGCGACGACGGGUAGCCGGCCUGAGAGGGCGACCGGCCACACUGGGACUGAGACACGGCCCAGACUCCUACGGGAGGCAGCAGUGGGGAAUCUUGCGCAAUGGGCGAAAGCCUGACGCAGCGACGCCGCGUGGGGGAUGGAAGGCCUUCGGGUUGUAAACCCCUUUCAGCAGGGACGAAGCGAAAGUGACGGUACCUGCAGAAGAAGCGCCGGCUAACGUACGCGCCAGCAGCCGC
This 476-nucleotide ribosomal RNA is filed under the name uncultured bacterium. Its description in RNAcentral is "SSU rRNA". It matches the Rfam family "Bacterial small subunit ribosomal RNA", at positions 26 to 518 of the family's 1533-position model. The record is from RNAcentral.